GACGUAGGUGGCGAACGUUAUCCGGAAUUAUUGGGCGUAAAGAGCUCGUAGGCGGUCUGUCGCGUCGGCUGUGAAAACUCGGGGCUCAACUCCGAGCUUGCAGUCGAUACGGGCAGGCUAGAGUUCGGCAGGGGAGACUGGAAUUCCUGGUGUAGCGGUGAAAUGCGCAGAUAUCAGGAGGAACACCGGUGGCGAAGGCGGGUCUCUGGGCCGAUACUGACGCUGAGGAGCGAAAGCGUGGGGAGCGAACAGG
This 253-nucleotide ribosomal RNA is filed under the name uncultured bacterium. RNAcentral describes it as "partial 16S ribosomal RNA". It matches the Rfam family "Bacterial small subunit ribosomal RNA", at positions 524 to 776 of the family's 1533-position model. The record is from RNAcentral.